CACGUAGGGGGCGAGCGUUGUCCGGAUUUAUUGGGCGUAAAGAGCUCGUAGGCGGCUCAGUAAGUCGGGUGUGAAACCUCCAGGCUCAACCUGGAGACGCCACCCGAUACUGCUGUGGCUAGAGUCCGGUAGGGGAGCGUGGAAUUCCCGGUGUAGCGGUGAAAUGCGCAGAUAUCGGGAAGAACACCCGUGGCGAAGGCGGCUCUCUGGGACGGUACCGACGCCGAGACGCGAAAGCGUGGGGAGCGAACAGG
This 254-nucleotide ribosomal RNA is filed under the name uncultured bacterium. RNAcentral describes it as "partial 16S ribosomal RNA". It matches the Rfam family "Bacterial small subunit ribosomal RNA", at positions 524 to 776 of the family's 1533-position model. The record is from RNAcentral.